UACGUAGGGUGCGAGCGUUUGUCCGGAAUUAUUGGGCGUAAAGAGCUCGUAGGCGGUGUGUCGCGUCGGCCGUGAAAACCUGGGGCUCAACUCUGGGCGUGCGGUCGAUACGGGCAUCACUUGAGUUCGGCAGGGGAGACUGGAAUUCCUGGUGUAGCGGUGAAAUGCGCAGAUAUCAGGAGGAACACCGGUGGCGAAGGCGGGUCUCUGGGCCGUUACUGACGCUGAGGAGCGAAAGCGUGGGGAGCGAACAGG
Molecule: ribosomal RNA, 255 nt
Filed under: uncultured bacterium
Lineage: Bacteria
Description: partial 16S ribosomal RNA
Rfam family: Bacterial small subunit ribosomal RNA
Source: RNAcentral